Molecule: ribosomal RNA, 750 nt
Filed under: bacterium enrichment culture clone DB1
Lineage: Bacteria
Description: bacterial SSU rRNA
Rfam family: Bacterial small subunit ribosomal RNA
Source: RNAcentral
GAGUUUGAUCCUGGCUCAGAUUGAACGCUGGCGGCAGGCCUAACACAUGCAAGUCGAACGGUAGCACAGAGGAGCUUGCUCCUUGGGUGACGAGUGGCGGACGGGUGAGUAAUGUCUGGGAAACUGCCCGAUGGAGGGGGAUAACUACUGGAAACGGUAGCUAAUACCGCAUAACGUCGCAAGACCAAAGAGGGGGACCUUCGGGCCUCUUGCCAUCGGAUGUGCCCAGAUGGGAUUAGCUAGUAGGUGGGGUAACGGCUCACCUAGGCGACGAUCCCUAGCUGGUCUGAGAGGAUGACCAGCCACACUGGAACUGAGACACGGUCCAGACUCCUACGGGAGGCAGCAGUGGGGAAUAUUGCACAAUGGGCGCAAGCCUGAUGCAGCCAUGCCGCGUGUAUGAAGAAGGCCUUCGGGUUGUAAAGUACUUUCAGCGAGGAGGAAGGCGUUGUGGUUAAUAACCGCAACGAUUGACGUUACUCGCAGAAGAAGCACCGGCUAACUCCGUGCCAGCAGCCGCGGUAAUACGGAGGGUGCAAGCGUUAAUCGGAAUUACUGGGCGUAAAGCGCACGCAGGCGGUCUGUCAAGUCGGAUGUGAAAUCCCCGGGCUCAACCUGGGAACUGCAUCCGAAACUGGCAGGCUAGAGUCUUGUAGAGGGGGGUAGAAUUCCAGGUGUAGCGGUGAAAUGCGUAGAGAUCUGGAGGAAUACCGGUGGCGAAAGCGGCCCCCUGGACAAAGACUGACGCUC